This 606-nucleotide ribosomal RNA is filed under the name Colletotrichum gloeosporioides. RNAcentral describes it as "eukaryotic LSU rRNA". The stretch from base 242 to 395 matches the Rfam family "5.8S ribosomal RNA". Lineage: Eukaryota; Fungi; Ascomycota; Sordariomycetes; Glomerellales; Glomerellaceae. The record is from RNAcentral.
UCUUGGUCAAUUAGAGGAAGUAAAAGUCGUAACAAGGUCUCCGUUGGUGAACCAGCGGAGGGAUCAUUACUGAGUUUACGCUCUACAACCCUUUGUGAACAUACCUAUAACUGUUGCUUCGGCGGGUAGGGUCUCCGCGACCCUCCCGGCCUCCCGCCUCCGGGCGGGUCGGCGCCCGCCGGAGGAUAACCAAACUCUGAUUUAACGACGUUUCUUCUGAGUGGUACAAGCAAAUAAUCAAAACUUUUAACAACGGAUCUCUUGGUUCUGGCAUCGAUGAAGAACGCAGCGAAAUGCGAUAAGUAAUGUGAAUUGCAGAAUUCAGUGAAUCAUCGAAUCUUUGAACGCACAUUGCGCCCGCCAGCAUUCUGGCGGGCAUGCCUGUUCGAGCGUCAUUUCAACCCUCAAGCUCUGCUUGGUGUUGGGGCCCUACAGCCGAUGUAGGCCCUCAAAGGUAGUGGCGGACCCUCCCGGAGCCUCCUUUGCGUAGUAACUUUACGUCUCGCACUGGGAUCCGGAGGGACUCUUGCCGUAAAACCCCCCAAUUUUCCAAAGGUUGACCUCGGAUCAGGUAGGAAUACCCGCUGAACUUAAGCAUAUCAAUAA